UACAUAGGGUGCAAGCGUUGUCCGGAAUUAUUGGGCGUAAAGAGCUCGUAGGCGGUUUGUCGCGUCUGCUGUGAAAUCCAAGGCUCAACCUUGGACCUGCAGUGGGUACGGGCAGACUAGAGUGCGGUAGGGGAGAUGGGAAUUCCUGGUGUAGCGGUGGAAUGCGUAGAUAUCAGGAGGAACACCAAUGGCGAAGGCACAUCUCUGGGCCGUAACUGACGCUGAGGAGCGAAAGCGUGGGGAGCGAACAGG
Molecule: ribosomal RNA, 252 nt
Filed under: uncultured bacterium
Lineage: Bacteria
Description: partial 16S ribosomal RNA
Rfam family: Bacterial small subunit ribosomal RNA
Source: RNAcentral